UGUAGUUUGUUUUGACAUUUCCGUUUUAUUUAACCUAACCUAUGUUUUGUGUUUUGUUGUUUGGUUGUAUACAAGGAGUUGUAUAUUGAAAUUGAAUUGAUUCUUGUUUCAUUGAAUUAUUGAAUAUAGAGGAGUUGUUCUGUUGCAAGUUGUUCUAGUUUUGUUGUUUUAAAAUCUGAGAAAAACUAUUUAUAGAUAAUGGUGAACUUAAACAAGAAAUGGGCAUGCAGUUUGCUGAUUACUUAAUUGUGUACUCACAACACAUAGGAUUUCUCCGACACAGUUUCCAGUACAGAACUGCCACAGGAAUCUCCAGUGGAGUUGCAACCGCUCUCACGGACGUCCACAAAUCAAGUUACAAAACUGUUACAUGACUCUCUAUUGGAGUUGCAACCGCAAUUGGAUAAAAGUGAAAUUCGAAUAAUGCCAGAAAUACUAUAACCGUCCAAAGUGAUAGUGUGAAAUUAGAAUCAAAUGAUUAUGUAUAAAUCAUAUUGAUAAUAAUUAUAAAUAGUAACUGUAUUUUUUAAAUAAACAGAUUUGAUAAGUUA
RNAcentral lists this long non-coding RNA (551 nucleotides) under Diabrotica virgifera virgifera (western corn rootworm). RNAcentral's name for it is "uncharacterized LOC126881540". Lineage: Eukaryota; Metazoa; Arthropoda; Insecta; Coleoptera; Chrysomelidae. The record is from RNAcentral.